GAUGAAGAACGUAGCGAAAUGCGAUAAGUAAUGUGAAUUGCAGAAUUCAGUGAAUCAUCGAGUCUUUGAACGCACAUUGUGCCCCCUGGUAUUCCGGGGGGCAUGCCUGUCCGAGCGUCAUUGCUGCCCUCAAGCACGGCUUGUGUGUUGGGCCGCCGUCCCCGGUUUCCCCCGGGGACGGGCCCGAAAGGCAGCGGCGGCACCGCGUCCGAUCCUCGAGCGUAUGGGGCUUUGUCACCCGCUCUGUAGGCCCGGCCGGCGCCAGCCGACACCCAACUUUAUUUCUAAGGUUGACCUCGGAUCAGGUAGGGAUACCCGCUGAACUUAAGCAUAUCAAUAAGCGGAGGA
This 348-nucleotide unclassified non-coding RNA is filed under the name soil metagenome. Its description in RNAcentral is "partial contains 5.8S ribosomal RNA, internal transcribed spacer 2, and large subunit ribosomal RNA". The stretch from base 1 to 120 matches the Rfam family "5.8S ribosomal RNA", at positions 35 to 154 of the family's 154-position model. The record is from RNAcentral.